GAUGAACGCUGACAGAAUGCUUAACACAUGCAAGUCGAUGGGGAAGUGGUGCUUGCACCCUGGUAACCAUGGCGGACGGGUGAGUAACGCGUAAGGAACUUGCCUGCGGGACUGGGAUAACAGCAGGAAACUGCUGAUAAUACCGGAUAAGGUCAUUAAGCUGCAUAGCUUAGUGAUGAAAGGAGACGCCUGCGGAGAGCCUUGCGUCCUAUUAGCUAGUUGGAGGGGUAACGGCCCACCAAGGCGAAGAUAGGUAGCCGGCCUGAGAGGGUGGACGGCCACAAGGGGACUGAGAUACGGCCCUUACUCCUACGGGAGGCAGCAGUGGGGAAUAGUGGACAAUGGGGGCAACCCUGAUCCAGCAAUUCUGUGUGCACGAAGACGGUUUUCGGAUUGUAAAGUGCUUUCAGCAGGGAAGAAGGAAGUGACGGUACCUGCAGAAGAAGCGACGGCUAAAUACGUG
This 463-nucleotide ribosomal RNA is filed under the name uncultured bacterium. Its description in RNAcentral is "partial 16S ribosomal RNA". It matches the Rfam family "Bacterial small subunit ribosomal RNA", at positions 28 to 507 of the family's 1533-position model. The record is from RNAcentral.